GAUGAACGCUGGCGGCGGGCCUAACACAUGCAAGUCGAGCGAAAAGACAAUGAGCGUGCUCCUCUGCGGUUAGCGGGUGACGGAUGAGUAACACAUGCAUAACCUACCUAUUUUACUGGGAUAACAUCGGGAGACCACUGCCAAUACCAGAUAACAUGAUCAACCGCUUGGUUCAACAGUUAAAGACGCUUUUGCUGACACUUAGAGAUGGUUCCGCGCCGCAUUAGCUAGUUGGUAAGGUAACGGCUUACCAAGGCAACGAUGCGUAGCUGACCUGAGAGGGUGAUCGGCCACACUGGAACUGAGACACGGUCCAGACUCCUACGGGAGGCAGCAGUGGGGAAUAUUAGACAAUGGGCGCAAGCCUGACCGAGCAAUGCCGCGUGGGUGAAGAAGGUCUUCGGAUCGUAAAGCUCUGUUAUUAGGGAAGAACAACAGUGUAAGUAUAUCUCGACGUGCUGACGGUACCUAAAGAAUAAGCACCGGCUAACUUCGUG
This 497-nucleotide ribosomal RNA is filed under the name uncultured bacterium. RNAcentral's name for it is "partial 16S ribosomal RNA". It matches the Rfam family "Bacterial small subunit ribosomal RNA", at positions 28 to 507 of the family's 1533-position model. The record is from RNAcentral.